Molecule: long non-coding RNA, 549 nt
Filed under: Serinus canaria (Common canary)
Lineage: Eukaryota; Metazoa; Chordata; Aves; Passeriformes; Fringillidae
Description: lncRNA (ENSSCAG00000016877.1)
Source: RNAcentral
AAGAACAGAGAAGCAGCAGAGAUGUGGUAUGUGCUUUAAACCCAGAUGACUUUCUGCUGCUCUCCCCACAGUUCCCUCUUUGUCUCCCAGGUUUACCAGCUAGCUUCCCAUUUGCCUUUGAAGUGGGUUUGCAGCCUGCAUGGAAUGAUCCAGCUGUGUCAUGCAAUAAACUGGCCAGCAGAGUGCCAGUGCUGGCUUGCAGAUGGGAUUUUCACUGGAGGAAAUUUGUGGCUCUUUGAGGGGAGAGGAAGUAUCUUUGAAGGCUUUGGAGCUUGAAGUCUGUGUCUGCAAGAGCAAGUCCUGACUAAUGAAACAUGACAUAACCCCAGGUUUCUGAAAGUUAAAACUGGGAAUGACUCACUCCUGUUCUACCCUUGUAAUAUGGCUUUUCCCAUUAUUGAAGUGGCUUCUGUAGCACGAUGUGAGGAAAUGUGUGAAAUGGUGUAACUCUGUGUCACAUGUGGUUAUAGAGCACCAUGUAUGACUUGAAGUGACUUUAUACCAUCCUCUUUCAUUCUUGUUUGUGGAUAUCUCAGAGUCAAAUAUCAG